RNAcentral lists this ribosomal RNA (411 nucleotides) under uncultured bacterium. RNAcentral describes it as "bacterial SSU rRNA". It matches the Rfam family "Bacterial small subunit ribosomal RNA", at positions 370 to 772 of the family's 1533-position model. The record is from RNAcentral.
AAUGGGCGAAAGCCUGACGCAGCAACGCCGCGUGAGUGAUGAAGGUUUUCGGAUCGUAAAGCUCUGUCAGAGGGGAAGAAACUCCCGGGAGAUAAUAUCGCCUGGGCCUGACGGUACCCUCAAAGGAAGCACCGGCUAACUCCGUGCCAGCAGCCGCGGUAAUACGGAGGGUGCAAGCGUUGUUCGGAAUUAUUGGGCGUAAAGCGCGUGUAGGCGGUUGGUUAAGUCUGAUGUGAAAGCCCUGGGCUCAACCCGGGAAGUGCAUUGGAAACUGGCUAACUUGAGUACGGGAGAGGGUAGUGGAAUUUCGAGUGUAGGGGUGAAAUCCGUAGAUAUUCGAAGGAACACCGGUGGCGAAGGCGGCUACCUGGACCGAUACUGACGCUGAGACGCGAAAGCGUGGGGAGCAAA